RNAcentral lists this ribosomal RNA (344 nucleotides) under uncultured eukaryote. RNAcentral describes it as "SSU rRNA". It matches the Rfam family "Eukaryotic small subunit ribosomal RNA", at positions 567 to 896 of the family's 1831-position model. The record is from RNAcentral.
CCAGCAGCCGCGGUAAUUCCAGCUCCAAUAGCGUAUAUUAAAGUUGUUGCAGUUAAAAAGCUCGUAGUUGAAAGUGUGGGUUCGGGCCAGUGGGGCUGCUUCGAAAGAGGCAGUUUUUUCCUGCUGACGAGCUCAAUUUGUCCUGGAGGGCUCGUUUAGGCAUUUAGUUGUUUGAGCGGUUAGUAGUGCUCCAGGUCGUUUACUUUGAGCAAAUUAGAGUGUUCAAAGCAGGCAUUAUUGCCUUGAAUACCUUAGCAUGGAAUAAUGAAAUAGGACUUGGUUUCUGUUUUGUUGGUUUCUAGAAGCCGAGUAAUGAUUAAUAGGAACAGUUGGGGCCGUUCAUA